RNAcentral lists this ribosomal RNA (492 nucleotides) under uncultured bacterium. RNAcentral describes it as "partial 16S ribosomal RNA". It matches the Rfam family "Bacterial small subunit ribosomal RNA", at positions 29 to 507 of the family's 1533-position model. The record is from RNAcentral.
AGUGAACGCUGGCGGUAGGCCUAACACAUGCAAGUCGAACGGCAGCACAGUAAGAGCUUGCUCUUACGGGUGGCGAGUGGCGGACGGGUGAGGAAUACAUCGGAAUCUACUUUUUCGUGGGGGAUAACGUAGGGAAACUUACGCUAAUACCGCAUACGACCUACGGGUGAAAGCAGGGGAUCUUCGGACCUUGCGCGAUUGAAUGAGUCGAUGUCGGAUUAGCUAGUUGGCGGGGUAAAGGCCCACCAAGGCGACGAUCCGUAGCUGGUCUGAGAGGAUGAUCAGCCACACUGGAACUGAGACACGGUCCAGACUCCUACGGGAGGCAGCAGUGGGGAAUAUUGGGCAAUGGGCGAAAGCCUGAUCCAGCCAUACCGCGUGGGUGAAGAAGGCCUUCGGGUUGUAAAGCCCUUUUGUUGGGAAAGAAAAGCAGCAGGUUAAUACCCCGCUGUUCUGACGGUACCCAAAGAAUAAGCACCGGCUAACUUCGUG